This 940-nucleotide long non-coding RNA is filed under the name Heterocephalus glaber (naked mole-rat). RNAcentral's name for it is "lncRNA (ENSHGLG00000039818.1)". Lineage: Eukaryota; Metazoa; Chordata; Mammalia; Rodentia; Bathyergidae. The record is from RNAcentral.
AAGAUAUUGCCAUGUAGUUCUGUUGAAAGUUAGGUCCUGGAAAGUCCUCAACUUUGUCCUAAGAAGAACUUGUUGUUAGAAGCCAAGCACACUUUUCAGAAUGUUUCUGCAGUUUGCGCUGCAGUUUUCAUUCAAACAUUCUUCUAGUGCCAGCUCUCCCAUGCAAGUCAAAGGUAGGUUAUGAUGUAAAGUGGAGUUCCUUCUCAGAGAAAGCAGCUAGAUCUCUGUCACUGUGUCAGAACACUCCACUCUGUGAAUUCCAUGGAAUAAUAUUCACGUCACAAUCUGGCUCUCUGGAUUGCCAAAUUCUGUAGCAUAUCUCUAUGAGGGCUGGGGCUUCCACAGCUCGUGACAGGAACAGCCAGGGAUGGUCUACCCAAGACUCCUGUUCCCCAUUUUCCAAGAGCCCUUUCUGGCAUCAUAAGGGAAUUUUCCCACCGGGAGUCUACUAAAUAUCGUCUAAUCCAAUCCCAAAUCCAUGGAAAAGAAGACAAUGAGCAAAUCUCUCAGGCCUGAAUUCUUAUUUCUCUAGAACUUCAUCCUCUCUCUCUGGUUCCAUCACCUACUAAGGGGCUUUCCAUCCUCAGCUUUGAGCUUCUUUGCCUCUGACUGUGACAGGACCGAGAGACUGACGUAGCUAUCUCCAAAGUGUAAACUGGCCCCGAUGAUUGAAAUAUCAGUUAUAUCCAAGUGGACUGCAGAGCGAGUACCAGACCUCUGGAAGAGAGAAAGAGAGGACAACGUGGGAGGCCACCCAACGGGAGGCUAGAGGGGCCUUUGCUGGAGAGGUGAGGAAGGGCAGAAGCCUUACGGGCUGGACAGGAGCGUCACGUGCCUCGACCGGCAGACCAGUGAGAAGGGGCGGAGCCGGAAGAGCAAGGAAAGGGCAUCGGCAAAGCAGGAACGGUGGUCACACUUGAACUAACCGCGUGAACUCGGC